RNAcentral lists this long non-coding RNA (12456 nucleotides) under Manihot esculenta (cassava). RNAcentral describes it as "long non-coding RNA (MESC_LNC000192)". Lineage: Eukaryota; Viridiplantae; Streptophyta; Magnoliopsida; Malpighiales; Euphorbiaceae. The record is from RNAcentral.
UCAAUUUAAAUUCACCUUCAACUGAAAAUAGAUUGUUUAGCCACUCAUGGCCAUAAUAAAAUUAUAAAAAUUAAGCAAAAGGAGAAGAAGAAGAAAAGAAGAUGGAGAAGAAUGUGGAGGGCAGCAAGAGAAGAAAUGAGAGUGAGAGGUAGAAUAUGAUUCUCCAGGUUGAAUGCUAAGAGCCUUUAUAUAGGCACAAAAAGAUAAAAUUUAAAAUAAAAUAUAUUAUCCCUAUCUUAUCUCUAUCCUAAUAUGAUCUUUAUCCUCAUUUGAUUGAGUUUGAUUCAAUUUGACUCCACUUGAAACCCAUCGCCUCGAGUUACAGGUUUGGUCAAGGUUGUAGCCUUCCGAUAUAAAAAAUCCUUUAAUUCAACCUUUUUUCUUCCUUUUCUCAACUUCUACUCACAAACCUGUCCAAAAUUAAAUUCAAAUUAAAAUUAAAUAUUUAUAUCAAAAUUACAGUAAAAUUAAUGAAUUAAAUGAGAAAAAAAAUGUGAGUUUUGCAACUCAUCAGAUUCCCCCACACUUGUACGUUUGCUUGUCCUCAAGCACAAAAAUUGAAAUAAAACAAUAAAAUACAGCUCUAUCCUCAACCAAUCUGAAAUUUAAUUUGUCCAAAGCAAAGAACCAAAUUGUCAUGUAAUAGGAUGAUAGCAGCUUAAUUCACCAAAGUUCACUUCAAUAAGUUUCAUAUUUAAAACGUGUUUCUCAAGACAUAAAGUUGGACCUCAAUUUAAUUUCAAGCACAAAAAUAUUAGAAUGUCAUAUAAUAUUAUAUUGCCCUUUUGAAAGAAUAGAAUCUUAGAACUCUUGACUAGACCAAUAAAAUUUAAAUAUUUGGAGGUUUAUUAUUUAUUAUUUACACUUCCUACUAUAUCUUGCUUGAAACCGAUAAAGUGAACGUGAAACAAAUGGUUGCUGAGCCACUCGCCCCAAGUUAUUCAGCUCAGGUGGCUACUAGCUCCACUCAUAAUUACCCAAUAAAAAGGUAUGGGCAAGUUUUUUAAACGGCCCAAAAAGGGGUGAUACUCUUCCAAACACCGAUUUCUCCAUAUGGAAUCACCUUAAGGGGAUACCAAGUAUCGCACUACUUGGAUCAUCGGGUUGGUAACCAAUUGAUCAAGCAACUAGAGUAGUGGGUCAUAGGAGUGCAUUUAUUUCUUUUUUAUUUCUUUUUUUAUUUUUAAUAUAUUUUUUCUCUUUUUUCUUUUUUUUAUGACACCCCUUAAUUUUCACAUAAGUAUAUAGUCUAGAAAAUGUCCUUUAAUUCAUUCUCAACAAAAGGCAGCAACUCAUUUAAAAGAACAUGCAUUCAUUACCCAACUAUUUAAAUAAGGACCAAACUUCAUUAGCUUUCAAAAUAAGUCUUAAAAAUAAAACUAAUAAAAUGAACAAUGAUAAAUUUAUUCUAUUUAAGCUAGCAUACAAAUGGCAUAAUAACUUGUAUUCUACGAUAAAAGACAUAUCAAUUUCUUAUGGCAAGUAAGGAGUUGUAAAAUUUUUAUUUUUUAUUUUCUAUUUUUUUUUUAAAAAUGAUGCUAAUACUAGAAAUCAUAAAAAUUAAAUAUGAGAAACAAUUUAAAGUGCAAGUGCUGAGAAACUGCUGAGAAUCAUAAAAAUAGAAGUGUUUAUAGGCUUGGGCAAGCUUCUAACUCAAACACCAAAAACUCAAAGAAAAAUAGCAGAAAAAGAAUAAAAAUUCCCAAAAAUUUCAGAAUGUUCAUAAAUCAUCAAUCAAUCUCAUCAAUUACAAAAAACUUUAUCCCCAUACCACAUCUCCCCCCACACUUACUCCUCACAUUGUCCUCAAUGUGGAAAAAAUUCAAUUAAACGGGGAAAGUUCACAAAAUAAAAUAAAAGUAAAUCAAAGAGAACUUCCCUUAAGAAUAAGUCGCAUAGAACUCAGGCUGUUGGUGGUUGGGGUAUGGGCAACCCUAAGUGAGAGAGAAUAACAUCCAAUUUGGCAUCCAUAUGGUGCAUUUUUGCCUCAAUUCUGGCUAGGCAGGCUUGAUUACUAGGUUCUAGAGAUGCUGCUGAGGAGGCUGAGGUUGAAGUUGACUGGUCCUCUGUCCGAAAUAAACGCGAUCGUGGUGGAAUGAUAGGACUUGGAGGACAAAACACAAAUUCUUUCCUCUCGUUGAGGCAAAGUAAGUCCAUAGAAUUAAGUGCAGAUAUGUCAAAGUGGAAGAAUAGGCUCAGCUAUAUGUAAAUUAGUGUUUUUAAUAUCAACUACACCCAACCCUACUGCUAGCAUUAAAAUUACAGAACCCAAGUAUAUACCACGCCCAGCAUUAGAUAUACUUUUAAAUUGGGAGGCUAACCAAAAAUCAAAAUUAAUUUUUCUUUUUUUUUUAACAUACACCAUAAGAAGAAGAGUUCAUAUUUUAUGAGUUUAGUUGGAUUUUUAUUUUUUCCAGAAAAUGUGUAACACAGGAACCUGUGAAGGUAUCUAAGGGCAGGGCUCUGAAUAUCAUUAGCUUUAGAUUUCCUACCCUUAAAUUUAAGCUCAGGUUUCCCUGUUAACUCCUUGUAUGCUAAAAUUGGAUCCCAAUCCGCUGGGUAGUCACAUAAUGAAUCUAAAUAUUCAACAGUUUUGACAUAUUCAUUAUCAUAAAUACCCAAGUACAAAUUAAAUGUUGUGAUUGAACAUUGGACCAUUUUAUUUUGCAACCUAAAAUGAAUUGUAGGAAUAUUCAAAUUAAAAUCCUGUACAUCAAAAGAAAACUCAUAGGUUACAUAAAAUUCACGGCAAAGCUCAACAUAGGAGGGACAAUCUAUAACAAAAAAUUUUCUCCAUCCAAUCGGAUCAAUUAAAGCAUAAACUUCAUCAUACAAUCACAAUUGGAUCAAGGUAUCAUCAUUUAUUUUUUUACAAGCAUAAAUAUCAGAAUGGAGAAAAAUUUUAUAUCUCACCUCAUCAUCGCGACAAAGCUAAAAUUGCCAUGAAGGUCUUGCUCUGCAGGUAGAUAUCUGGCCUUUCCACCAGCUAUCCUGGGCAUCCAUUUUUUCUGCUUUUUCUUUGGAGGAGAAUCAACCUGGAUUUCUUCACUGGCACUCGAGGUUGUGUCCUCGCUGCUGUCCUCCGAAGCUUCCACGAUUAAUUUUAUGGUUUUGGAUUGCAUUUUUCGUUCUUGGAGUUGCCUCAGGAUUUCAGGUUUCACCUCCCAUUCUUCCUCUUCAUCACUCAUUAAGUCAUAAAUAGGAACUUUACCUUUCAUAUGUGAAUGCUGGCGCGUGGUUGCAUCUGGCGAGAAAGAAGACGGUGGCGCUGUCAGCGUUGGAGAGAUUACGACCGGCAAGGAGGAACGUGCGGAAGGGGUUGUGACUGGCGAGGAGGAACGCGCGGAAGGGGCUGUGACCGGUGAGGAGGAACGCGGCGAAAGGGGCUGUGAUCAGCGAGUCCACUGGUUUGGUCUAUUUGCGAGGCCUGGUUGCCGCGUCCGAUGAGAUCUUCGUCAUGGUCUGGCGGCGGUGCGAUGAGCGGGCUCCCAAUCGAAGCGACGGAGGCGUGCUCUUAGCGGCGGAGGAAACAACAUGGGAAGAGGCAGCACGGGCCAUCUGCAGGAAAGAGAAGAAAAAAAAAGAAAGAAAAAAAAAAAGAAAAGAUAGAAGAUGAAGAUGAGAGGAGAUAAAAAGAAUUAGGUUUUUUUUUUUAAUUUUUGAAUUAUUAUUAUAUUUUUUUUAUUAUAUAUUUUUUUUAAUUUUUUUAAUUUUUUUAUUAUUAUUAUUUUUAGUAGAAAAUAAGAUAAAGUAGAACAGAACCUACCUUCCUUUGGGAGCAAUUUUAAAAAUAAUAACUUACCUCCAAAAAGAUUCCCUAAAGCCUCGAAUUGCCUAGAAGAUCCAAUCUGCUCAAAAAAUAACAAAUAAAUUAAUUUAAAAUUAAAAAUUAAAAGAAAACUUACUUGUGACUCUACAGGCUUGGGCAAGCCUGUAAUCUUGGGUUGCCUCCCAAGCAGCGCCCUUGUUUAUUGUCCUAGGCUGGACUUUUCUUCCUUCAAUUUCUGAUCUGUGGUACUCCUAGAACCAUAAUUUCUUCAUCUUUAGGCUUGAAUCUCUCAUAGAAGGGUUUGAGUCUAUGACCAUUCACUUUAAAAAUUUUACUAGUUUCAAGACUUUGAAUUUGCACGGCUCCAUGGUUAAAAGUCUUAAUUACAACAAACGGACCAAUCCAUCGUGUCCUCAAUUUUCCUAGAAAAAGUUUUAACCGAGAAUGAAAAAGUAAAACUUUUUGGCCCACCUGAAAAUUUUUCAGAGAAAUUGAUUCAUCAUGAAAAGUUUUGGUUUUCUCCUUGUAAAUUCUGACACUCUUGUAGGGUUCAUUCCUUAUUUCCUCCAGUUCUUGCAAUUGCAACUUUCGAUUAGAACUUGCCUCUAUUAAGCUGUUGUUCCAUUGCUUUAUUGCCCAAAAGGCUUUAUGCUCUAGCUCAACUGGCAAAUGGCAAGACUUGCCAUAAACUAGCCGGAAAGGUGACAUGCCUAUUGGGGUCUUAUAGGCUAUCUUAUAAGCCCAUAGUGCAUCAUCAAGGUGGUUGCUCCAGUUUUUCCUAUUAAUAUUGACAGUUUUCUCUAAGAUCAAUUUAAUUUCCCUGUUAGAAACUUCCGCUUGACCGUUUGUCUGUGGAUGGUAUGCUGUAGAAGUACGAUGAGUUACUCCAUAUUUUCUCAACAAUGAUUCGAUCACCUUAUUGCAAAAGUGGGUUCCUCGAUCACUCACUAGUAGUCGUGGAACUCCAAACCUGACAAAUAUAUGAGUUUUCAAAAAAACAGAAACAACUUUUGAAUCAUUAGUCCUGGUGGCCUUAGCCUUCACCCACUUUGAGACAUAGUCAACAGCAAGCAAAAUGUAUUGAUUUCCAAAUGAAGAAGGAAAUGGACCCAUGAAAUCUAUGCCCCAUACAUUGAAAAUUUCAAUUACCAGUAUAGGUGCAAGGGGCAUCUGGUCUCGAUAUCCUAGGUUACCUGUUCUUUAACAAUUGGAGCAUGCCUUACAAAACAUAUAAGAGUCUUUGAAUAUAUUGGGCCAGUAGAGUCCACAUUCUAACUCUUUCCUUGCUGUCCUCUUUGCUCUAAAGUGCCCUCCACAGGUUUCUAAGUGGCAGAAAUGAAGAAUAGACUUUGUUUCACUUUCUAGGACACAUCUCCUUACUAUUUGGUUAGCACAAAAUUUCCAUAAGUACGACCAUCAGUACGACUCAUUUUCUCUUUCCGGCUUCUUGAAAUUCCUACUGGAAAACUUUUGGUCACCAUAUAGUUUACCAAAUCAGCGUACCAAGGGCUUGUCACCUGUGCAAAAAAUAAUUGUUCGUCAGGAAAUUCAUCUUUUAAAGGGAAUUUAUCUUGGGAUUGAAAUAAAAAACUGAGGUGAUCGGCAACCAAGUUUUCUGAUCCCUUUUUAUCCUUAAUUUCAAGGUCAAAUUCCUGCAACAAUAAAAUCCAACGAAUUAUUCGUGGUUUUGCUUCUUUCUUCUUUAAAAGAUAUCUCAAAGCUGCAUGAUCAGAAAACACAAUUACUUUAGUACCCAACAAAUAUGAUCUAAAUCUUUCUAAGGCAAAGACAAUUGCUAAAAGUUCUUUUUAGUGGUGGUAUAAUUGCUUUGGGCCUUAUAUAAAGUUUUGGAUGCAUAACAUAUUACAUGGGGUUUUUUAUCAAUUCGUUGACCAAGAACAGCUCUUAAAGCAUAAUUACUUGUGUCACACAUUAUUUCAAAUGGAUAAUGCCAAUUUGGUGCUUACAUAAUGGGAGCAGCAACUAGCUUUUCUUUAAGAGUAUCGAAAGCUUCUCUACACUUAUUAUCAAAAUUAAAUGGUACAUCCUUUUGCAAAAGUUUGCACAAUGGUUGAACAAUCCUUGAGAAGUCUUUGAUAAAUCUCCUGUAAAAUCCUACAUGACCAAGAAAAGAUCUAAUAUCUCGUAUAUACGUAGGAUAUGGUAAAUCCUUAAUUACAUCAACCUUGGCCUUAUCAACCUCAAUUCCUCGUUUAGAGACUAUAUAUCCUAAAAUUAAGCCUUGAUCCACCAUGAAGUGGCAUUUUUCAUAAUUUAAGACUAAAUUAGACUCUAGACAUCGUUUUAAGAUGUGUGUGAGGUUAAUUAGACAUUCAUCAAAUGAAUUACCACAAACUGUAAAGUCGUCCAUGAAUACCUCGAUUAUCUUCUCAACAAAUUCCGAAAAUAUACUGACCAUACAUCUUUGGAAAGUUGUUGGUGCGUUGCAAAGCCCAAAAGGCAUCCUUUUAUAGGAAAAAGUGCCAAACGGACAUGUGAAGUCGUCUUCUCUUGAUCUUCUAGGGCCACUGGUAUCUGGUAAAAACCUGAAAAGCCAUCCAAACAACAAAAAUGAGAUUUUCCUGCCAAUCUUUCUAACAUUUGAUCGAUAAAAGGUAAAGGAAAAUGAUCCUUCCUAGUUACUGAAUUCAACUUGCGAUAAUCUAUACAAACCCUUCACCCGUUUUGAACACGAGUGGGAACUAAUUCUCCUUCUGAGUUGGUUCUUGUAAUGACCUGGAAAUCGGACCGCUACCGGCGCUAGGAUCCAGAUCGACUUAAGGUCGUCGGGACCCGUAGCAAGCCUAACAUACAACCAGUCAUAUCUGAUAAUCCCAUACAUGAUCAAACAUUUACAUGAAAAUUUUAAACUUUCCAUUCUACCAAGCUUGACCUGUGCAUGCACCAUACUAUAAACAUAACAUAAACCCCACACAAGAGCCCUCAUCAAAUACUCUAGUGGGACAUCAUAUCAUACAUCAAGCUUGGUCUAACAUAAAUCAUCAUUAAAACAUUUCAUAAGAACAUGUACAAAAGGGAUUUAACAUAACAUUAGGGCCAAGCAUAAUUCUGGACCUCAUAACAUUUAAAUACAAUACUUUACAUUACAAUAUCUUUCAUUAUUUUCUCAUGUCCACAUCUAACUAUUACAUCCACAAAAUCUUUACUCUUGCUGACAUCCUGGUCUAUCUCGAACCUGCAAACCUAGGGGUUAAGGGAAAGGGGUGAGCUACUAGAGCCCAGUGAGCAGAAUAGUAAAACAGUUUAUAAAACAUAUGCUUUCAUGGAAUGCAUCACAUCACAACCAAAUCACAUCAAGAAUGGACUUGUCACCAAUAGUCCUCUACACAUUCCAAUGGUGCCAGGGGCGUAGAAUGGGCCUCACUGGCCUUUCUCUUACUCUGUGCCAGGGGCGUAGAAUGGGUCUCACUGGAUUUCCAUACCGUAUCAUCGUCAUCAUAUCAUACCGAGGACUAAUGGGUCAUCCAACAUCCAUCCACAUCAACAUCAAAGUAUGCAAUGCAACAUAUUCGUGAAUUUUAAUGCAAACAACCUAGUAUAUAUCAUGGCAUUCGUGAUGCAUGAACAUGCUUGAAAUUUAUUUGCUUGAAAACAUAAAGAUCCAUUCUACUCACCUCAGGCUGACUCUGAGAAGACUCUGAAGCAGCUACCUCACUACUGGGGUCCUCGGUUUCUAGGGUCCGAACCUACACAGGUGGACUCAAAUGAGGGACCAACAUACACUAACAUGACUCAAAACAUCUCCCCAAAAACCCCCUAAAACAUCAUAAAACAAUCAUAGAAAACAUGCAAAGGAAGGCUGAACAGGGCCCUUUCGGCGGCAGGUUCGGCGGCCGAAAGUCCCUCCAGAGCCGAAACUCAGUCACCUUCGGCGGCAGGUUCGGCAGCCGAAAGUCCCCUCUAGAGUCGAAAGUCCAAACUUUCGGGGGCAGGGUUCGGCAACCGAACAUGGUUUCGGCUGUCGAACAUGGUUUCGGCCGCCGAACAUGGUUUCGGCUGUCGAACCUGAGUUCUUCCAGAAUGGCAGAACUCGAGCUCCUCUCCCAAAUUCAGCCAACCAAACCUCAAAACUCAAACCAAAAACAUGCAUAAGCACCCUCAAGCAUUUAGGGGCUUAGAACUAACCUAUACCCCAAAAACAACUCAUUUUAACAUACAAUAACAAACAAUGCCUCAAUUUAGUCACAAAAACCCUAACAUUUUACAACUAACCUAAUCAUGCAUCUUUAUCCCAUAACCCUUCAUAAAACUUGCUUAAAACAUCAAAGAUUAUGAGGAUCGAUGCUUACCUCUUGAAGAUCGAGAGAAGGCGUGACCCAACUUGGAGAUUUGGGGAAAACGGGUUUCGGGGUCUCCAAGCUUCAAAACUUUAUCUUUAGCUCAAAAUCUUCAAAACCAAGUUAAAACUUAUAAAAAACAUUAAUGAUUUGAAGGAAAUCAUCAAAACCAACCAUGGAAGGACAUGGACUCACCUUUGCCCGAAAAUAGGGAAGAAAACUCGCCCAUUUUCGGACAUGGGGCCUUUUAUAGGUGGCUGGCCAGACCACCUUCGGAGGCCAAAGGUGCUCCCUAAAGUGCACCAUGUUCGGCUGCCGAACAUGAGGUUCGGCGGCCGAACAUGAGGUUCGGCUGCCGAACCUGGAUUUCCUUCCUUGGUGCUUUUCUUUCAAAAACUCAAUUUCUUUCUUACUUAAAACCUUAAAACACAUGAAAACAUUUUAGAAAAACAUAUUUUACCCUUCUAGAGAUUUCUGACAUCCGAGAUUCCACCGGAAAAUAGAGAUUCCGAUGCCGGGGUCUAGCCGGGUAUUACAGUUCUUAUUGUUAUUCUUGUCUUCUUUAGCACGAUUUGGACUGGGCUUACCCAUCUACUGUCUGAAAUUGGAUAUAUUAUUCUGGCAUCGAGCAAUUUUAGUAUAUCCUUUUUUACAACUUCCAUCAUAGGUGGGUUCAAUAUUCUUUGUGCUUCCCUUUUUGGCUUACUAUUUUCUUCAAGGAGGAUCUUGUGCAUGCACGUAGAGGGACUUAACCCCUUAAGAUCUACGAUUGUCCACCCAACUGCUUCCUUAUACUCCUUCAGUACCUGAAUAAGCUUAUCUUCCUCACCUUUACUCAGUUUAUUAGAGACUAUGACCGAAAGGGAGUUUUCUUUCCCCAGGAAGACAUACUUCAAGUGCGUGGGAAGAGCCUUUAGCUCAAUUUCCAGUGCCUGAAGAAUUGAAGGGAGAAGUUUGUGGUGAGACUCGAGUAUUGAAAGUAAAUUAUAGGUACUUACCUUCUAGUAUUGGUGUAUCCAAUGAGUGGAUGGUCUCUAUGAUCUCUUCAUCGAACUGGGUUGUGCACUCGUCAAGGUAAUCUAAUGUCAAGUUUUCGGUUAGAACUACCUCCAACUUGUCUUCCUUGCUUAGUUCAAAUGCUUCUUGAGCGAGAGGUUCGAUUACAUCUAUGCUGCAAACAGAAAAGUUUUCAUCAGGAUAUUUUAUUGCAUCAUAGACAUUAAACUUUACCUCUUCUCUAUCAAACUCCAUUGUGAGCGUGCCUUCAUGCACAUCAAUCUUCGUUCUAGCUGUGCUAAGGAAUGGUUUGCCUAGCAAAAAAUCUGUAGAGUUAGAUGAAUUAUCGUCCUCCAUGUCGAGGAUGAAGAAGUCGGCUGGGAAGAUUAAUUUUCCCACUUGGACCAAAACAUCUUCCAAUACGCCUUUAGGAUAGACUAUUCCUAUUUGUUUCAACGGGCCUGCAUCCAAAGAUAAAUAAACUGAUAGAGGCAUAACAUUUAUGGAAGCUCCUAAGUCACACAUUGCCUUUUUGACUUCAAGGUUUCCUACUUUACAUGAUAUAGCAAACAUGCCUUUGUCUUUACAUUUUUGUGCAAUUUUUCUUUGGAGUACAGCUGACACAUUCUCCCCUACUUUAAUCUUUUUGUGACCAUACAAUUUUCUUUUAUUAGUGCAAAGUUCUUUUAGAAAUUUCGCAUACCUGGGUAUUUGCUUUAUGGUCUCAAUAAGGGGUAUGUUUACUUGAACUUUGUGAAAGAUCUCUAAGAUCUCUUUCUCUUCCUUUUCCCUCUUUGUUUGUGCAAGUCUUUCGGGAAAAGGUGGACGAAUUACCUGCAUUGGGGUUUGUUCUUCCUCAGAUUCUUGGGGUUGUUUCUCUUCUGGAAUUUCUAUUUCUGCUUCUACCUUCUGGUCUGCCGUACUACCUUGGGCAAGCCUCUUCGGGCUGGCAGACUCCAACUCCACGUAAUUGCGCUUGCAUUCUAUUUUGGAUUUGGCAUGGUUUGGGAGGGCAGUUUCCCUAGUGAUUCUAGCUUGCUUACUGAUGUAGCAAGUUGGCUCAUUUGAUUCUCCAAAUUUUGGAUGCUUGACUUUGUUUCCUGUUGAAAAGCAAGAGUGCUAUUAGCAAGGGAUUGAACAAUGUCUUCUAGAGACAUACCUGAUUUUGCAGCUUGAUAGUUAGUUCUUGGUUGGUAGUUCUGCUGUCUAUUCCCAUAGUUAAGGUUUGGAUGAUCUCUCCAUCCUGGAUUGUAAGUGCUUGAAAAUGGGUCAUACUUCCUUUGUUGUCCAUUGAAUUGUUGUUCAUUGAACCCUCCAAUGGUGUUUACCUGUUGCUCUCCUUCUUGAAGGAUAUGACACAAAUCUGUGAUAUGGUCAGAUUGUUUGCAAAUACCAUAAGUUCCUGCAUUGUUCCCUGCAGCCAAUUGUUGAAUUGCAGCCGUUAGUUGUGAGAUUUUAGAAUCUAAAAAUGCAAUACUUACUUCAUUGGCAUUUCUUUUAAUGUCCUCUUCUUGGCCAUAUUGUCUAGAAUUGGCGGCCAUUUUAGAGAUUAAGGUUUUACCUUCUUCAGGUUCCAUUUCUGAAAUGGCACCUCCAUUAGCAGCAUCAAUCAUCCUUCAUUCUAAUGGCAAAAGUCCUUCGUAGAAGUGAAGGUUAAACUGUUUUGGAGUGAUUCCAUGUUUUGGACAACUUGCAAUUAAUUUCUUAUACCUUUCCCAAUAUUCAUGUAAAGUUUCAUUUUUUUUUCUUUGUUUAAUUCCACUUAUUUCCUUUCUUAUUAAUGAUGCUUUGGUCGCUAGGAAAAAUCUUUUUAAGAAUAAGUCUCUAAUUUGCACCCAAGUGGUGAUUGAACCUGGGGGCAAAUAGUAGAGCCAAUCCUUAGCAGAUUCAAUUAAAGUGAAAGGGAAAGCUACCAACCUUAUUUAUUCAUCAGUUAUACCUUGUGGUCUCAUACUUGAACAAACCACAUAAAACUCCUUUAGAUGACGAUGGGGGUCUUUAUUCUCCAAACCUUGGAAUUUUGGUAACAUAUGAAUCAUACCUGUUCGUAAUUCCAAGGGUGCAUUCAGUACUGGGUAUGUGAUGCAAAGGGGUUGCUCUUCAGCAGCAGCAGCUACGGCCAUAUUGUAUCUUUGGUUUUUGUCAAUUGGAGGCUCGAUUAGUGUUGAAGAUAGGUCUCUUUGGUGCGCAAAGGGGAUCGGACAGAUGGUUGAGAGGCUCCCGAAUUGGCCUGUUUUUGCAACUUGGUUGCUUUCCUCAACCUUUUUGUAGUCUUCUCAAUUUCUGGAUCAAACUGAAUCCUACUAUUCUCAGAUCUAGUCAUAAAAACAAAAACAAAUUGUUAGAGAUCCCCGGCAACGGCGCCAAAAUUUGACAGAUGUCGAAUUCGUCAAUUUAAAAUUUACUUCCCUUUUCUCAAUUGACAAGAACUUGUAGACAGGGUAAGUGAGUAUCGAUCCCACAGAGACCUUAAUCUUGUUUAAUUUAGAUGACCAAUUUGGAAUAGAAGAAUAGUUUAAUUCAAAAAGUGAGUAGAAGAGAAUUUUUUGAUGAGAGGGGUUUUGCCUUGGGCAAGCCAAUAAAAAUAAACUUAAAAGAAAAAAAUGAAUAAUGUAAUUGAAAAUUGAGAAACAAAUAAUUAAUUAAAAUUUUCAGCUGAAGAUGAUCAAAUUGAGGUGUUCUGCAGUUGAUCAUUGAUUAAAAAAAGUAAUUCAUUUUAUUAUCUAUUGUUUGGUUAUAGUGGCCAAACACGCGAAUCCCAUCAAUUCUUCCUUAUGAAUAAAUUAAUCUGCUUCGCGCUUAAAUUAAUUCCUAGUUAACUAACAAUCCCAACACGCGUGUAGAUUUAAUUAGUCAACUGCUUUAAGAGAGAAGAACCCUAACUUGAUUAAUGAAAAUACAUGUUUUAUUUAAAUCAAAUCUGUCAAUUUCUUAACAUAAACUAAUAUGUUAAUUACUAUUUGUUAUUAACCCAAUUAAACAAUUACGGAUUUAAUCAGAUUAAUUAGCGAUAAGUUAUUUUUCCAAGAGAUUCAAUAGGUCUCUUGAAUUCUCAAGAAAACAACAAUAGAGGUGGUGUUCCUCGAAAUCAGAAAUUGACAAAAAAAAAUAGAAAUAAGAUGAAGAGAAUUAAGUGCAUAACCUCGAUACUUAAACAAACCUCAAUUUAAAUUCACCUUCAACUGAAAAUAGAUUGUUUAGUCACUCAUGGCCAUAAUAAAAUUAUAAAAAUUAAGCAAAAGGAGAAGAAGAAGAAAAGAAGAUGGAGAAGAAGGUGGGGGGCAACAAGAGAAGAAAUGAGAGUGAGAGGUAGAAUAUGAUUUUCCAGGUUGAAUGCUAGGAGCCUUUAUAUAGGCACAAAAAGAUAAAAUUUAAAAUAAAAUCUAUUAUCCC